CUCACAGUGUUUUUUUCAGAGUCCCACACCAGGUCUUUGAAAGCCAGCUGGGAUGGAGUAAGCUCAGGCUGCAAGUAGUGACUGGCCCGAAACUCGUCGCCUACAACAAGGGCUGGUGACCAGGGUGAGGAACUCACCACAGCCACCUGAGAGUCCUGCACUGGAACCGUCAGGAGAAAUCCUUACCUUUCUCUAAGAGCUGGAAAAGCGUGGACGGGCGGAAUCCUGUGGGAACUGCUCCUAUGGUGCAGCAGCUUCGUAACCAUAACUAACAUCUCAGAACUCCCCAACAAACCCACUCAAGAA
Empidonax traillii (willow flycatcher) is the source of this 306-nucleotide long non-coding RNA. RefSeq lists it as uncharacterized. The transcript is spliced from 3 exons. NCBI's taxonomy places the organism in Eukaryota, Metazoa, Chordata, Aves, Passeriformes, Tyrannidae. The record is from RefSeq and is a predicted model, not a curated record.